AUCAGUUGUACUGAAAUUAGCUACAUGCAUAAAAUGACAUUCAACCUCUCCUAAUGACACACACACACACACAGGUGUCACUUUUUCCCCCCCCACAUGCUCUAAAUUAAAUUAAUAAUAACAUAUAAACAUGAUUUUAGGAAGCAAUAACAGCAGUCUAUACCACCUCUUGUUGUAGAAACCAUUCCAAUCAAAGUUUUUUCAUGAAGGACCCUCCUUUGCAUUCACCUGAGAGAAGCAAAGCUCUGUCUGGGUCCCAGAAACUUGUCAUUUAUUGAAGAGCAGUCCUGAAGAACUGUCUGUGCUGCUGCCUUGGCGCUCUGGGACUUCACGCAUCAGUGGAGAUUCAAAGUUGCUGAAGAACAAAAAAGAAACAAGCCCCCAAAAAUCUUUCCAAUGACUCAGCUACAUAAAUAACUCAAGUAAUACCAAAACACAGAUGUCUACAAUGGUAAUACACAUUUUUCACUGAGAAGGAGGACAUUGCCCUGACAACAUAGAAGAGGAGCAAUCUAUAAAGCCACUGCAUGUAAUGAACAGCUCCACGGCUGAUGGAAUGUCUGUACAUGAAAUUUUGAUAACUGUGCAAUCUCACAGAGACUACAUGAAGACCACACGUUUUUCACUGCUAAAAGAAAAUACAAUGAAGCAGGAGGAAGGGAAGCUGUGCUGCACAUGCAGUCUAAAGCACUAUCAAAUCCACUGAUAAGCAAAGAGGUGGUUAAAAAAUUGGGAAACAACCCCCACCAAUUUCUGGCACUGAGAUCCUGAGAAAUGUGAAGUUUUUCAACGUGCCUCAUCCCCAUGAGUGCCAAGCAGGCUUCCCCUUUCUGCUUCUCCCCAGCGAGCACAGGCAAGAGCCUGUUCAACACACCAGGAGAAGAGGAGCUGCUGCUGCAUUUUAUCCAGUGGGUACUUGGGCUGUGACUGAAGCACCCUCAGUCAACACACCAGAACUGAAGAGGCAUCAUAAUGUGUUGCAACAAGAAAACAUCAAGAAAUAAACAUAAGACUAAGGUUCAAUUUUAUACUGUGUGGAUUUAGUUGAUUUGUUAUUGGAAUACAAAGACUGCUGAUGCCAUGGGAUUUAGAGGGGAAUCCUCCACUCCUCCUUGGCUUGUAUGAACAAGAUUCAUCUGUAAUUACAGUUCAGUCAGAUGUGAAGAUAUUUCAGAAUGGUAAAACACUUUCGACAAAUUCUAAACAUGCAGAAGUGUCCACCAAAAUCUUCAGAAUGUGGUGCUUUCCAGAGGAAAAGAGAACAGCUGAGAGAAAUAGAAGGGGAGUGCCAACAGAUCACAUAUGUGUGCACACACCAAGAUUAAGGCACAUGCUUUGCUUACAGACUGGACUGGAAGGGACAAUGUGGUACUGCUGAGACUUCACCCUGGAGAAAACCAGCUUCUGUGCAGCACAGUGUGCUCUUUGCAGGGAUUUUUAUGUCAGCUUUCUCUGAAGGUAAAAUGAUAAAAGAUAUGUAAUCUCCAGUAUAAGGAAAAAAUCUUCAGAGCUUGUGCUGCUGCUGCUUUUCAUCUCUUUUGCAGAAUGGAACAGUUGAAGAUAGGAGACAAUUCUGUGAAAAUGUUUCUGACCUGAUCCAAAGCAUGAGACUGAGAGGCAAGAAAGAUACAGCAUGGAAAAAGAUCUUACACUGGAAGCAGAAAUCUAAAGGCAACUGAAGAAUGAUACAUAUAUAUAUAUAUAUAUGUGUGUGUAUAUAUCAGGCUAGAAAAAAAGCCUCACCUGGAGUGUGUCUGCUCUGGGGAAUCAGAGAACAGCAGCACGAACCUCCAGUGUUUGCACAAUGCAGUUCAAGCUCUCAUGGACAUGGAUGAACCCACUUGGACACCAGGGACCCUUCGUGAAAGAGAAAUGAAGCUGCUCAUGAGAUCCAUGCAGCAUAGCUGAUAAAACCACAAACACAAGGCAAUGAAAAAGAGCUACUCCUUCCAGCACAUCAUGAAUGAAUACAGCAGAAUCUGAUGGAAUAUUAAACACAGCAGUGUGAAAGCACAGUGAAUGUCUGCAGCUCUCAAAACCCCUGGAAAACAGAUAAGCACAGUUCUGCUCUGGAGGAAGAGUUUUGUGACUGGGGAGGCUCAGCAUGUGCACUUGGGUUUAAAGAAAGCAUCCUGCAAAAACACCUGGACAGGAGCUGUUGAGAUAAACCGAAGUCUACAUCAGCAGGAUGUUGCUACAGGUAAUGUCAGCUUUAAUGUGAAUGUGAUUUGGAAAGAUUGGCACAGUGUGGCCAGCAUUUGACAGAAUUUACAGUUAUCCAGCAGUAUCUGCCUGAUAAUCUCAGUGUCUUACAGCACACAGGCAGUUUUCUGUUCCUGGAAGUCACAACAGUGGAGUGACUUGCAUGGGAGAUCAAAUCUCUCAAAGUCAGGACAGCAGAACCUCCAUUUUAUAAAUGAAAGGCACUACGUUUUCAUUGAUUUUACUUUAUCAGGAAUCAUUUUUGAGCAAGUACAUGAUCCUCUAUCCCAGUGCUUUAGUUCUGCUCAGACACUAUGAAAAAGAACAAGGGAGCAUUAUCAAGCUGAUACUUUAAGCAGAAAGCAAAGAAUGGCAGUGACAGGCAAAGAAAGUGAGGCAGUGGAGUUGCAGCUUCACUUCCAAGGGCUUGUCAAGCAAGGUAACUGAGAGUAUGAAUGGACACAGAACAGCUUAGUUGAAUUAGAUUAGAGCAAAACCUGUCAAUAAACAAGAUCUUAAGAUGGGAAAAUGAGAAAUAACAAAAGAAAACAAAUUAUUCUUAAAAAAAAAACAAAAAAGGUAUUAUAUUGCGAGCAAAAUGAAACAAUAAUCAAGUCAAUGCUUUUAGAAAAAUUCUGGUGCAUUUUAGCUAUGCAGCACAGAUCCCAUAUGAGACCACUACCUCUGGACCUACAAUCUCUGUUAUAAUUUCUCAUUAGUAUCAUCUUAGAUUGUUUACUUCCCCACUAAUAUUAAUAGAAAUAAUCAUAAAAGCAAUAACAUGUAUGAUCAGGGUUGGUACAGGCUUCAGACUAGUAUUCACAAUCCUUUUAGAUAAUCAAAGCUAUGAGAAUAUUGCUUUUACUUUUGUAGCUAAGGUUUGGCCAUCUCCUGACAGAUCCAGUGCCUAGUAGACAAUGUAAAAAAGUUUUGAUCACUCCAUCUCCUGCUCCAUCAUUCCGCCUCUCUGGGCUAAAACUCCAAGCACUGCAUGCCUUAUAAAAGAGAUGACUCUGCCUAUAUGUUACCUCCCUGCUGCUUUUUCUCUUUUCAUAAUUUGCCAGAUUCCAGGUUAUCCAUUACAACUCCGAUUUGUCAAUAUAAAUGCACUCAGGAAGCUGCAUCAAUGUGAAGUCAACAAGACACCAUAAUUAAGGAUAUAUCUAGGCAAAUCCUAUAGCAGGAUUUUAAUGCGGCAUAAUGGGAAUGUGAACCACCAGGACUCUGACUUACUUAAGGAAAAGAAAAUAAAAAGUUAUCUAUUCUUUCAUUGUCUCGAAUCUAUGCAGGACAGACCUCCUACAGAGCUACUGGUGACUGGCUCUGGGUCAGUUCUUAAUUCCACUCAAUGAAUAUCCCAGAGAUCAGUGCAGCCAGGACCAUCAAAGCCAGGAAACCAGAAGGAAGCAGUUCAAACUGUUGUAUUUGUCCUCAACAUUUUGUGACUGCACUCUUAUGCUUUGUCAUUAUAUUUAUUUUUGCAUAAACAUUCCCUUUGGACACCUGGAGUUGACAGCAAUGGGAUCUUUUCAAAGUACAUAAUCCAAAGAUGUCAUGCUUGCUUCAAACUGCUUGUAGAUGAAACAACAGCUGGAUGAGAAGUACAAUGAACAGGGACCUCCUGAGUCCUGUCCUGAGUGCACUGAGGGUUCUGCAGCCUCCAGGAUGUCAGGAAGGGACAGAGCCCUCGCCACACUGUCCUCCUCGCCAGAAUGAAACAGCUUUUCCAUUUCUCUGACACCCCGUGAAGAUCUGCCCUGAGGAUGGUUUCAGCGUGCACCAAGGAUGAGCAGUGAGGACCUGUGGAUAUCGUCUUCUAACCAGCAGAUACCAUUGCAACAAAAUCUGUUCAUUCUUUAUCCCACUAUCUUCAUUGUGGAAGCUGAAAUACAACAUGUCAGCUGGAGAAGGGCAGUCUGAGCACUGAAGAACUUCUAUACUUGAGUUUGGGCUGCGAUCAGACUGAGAUUUAAAGUGGAGCUUGAUCAAUUCCCUUCAUCAGGCUUCCAUUCACGUAGGAGGAAGCAGAUCCAUGACAGAGAAAAGAACAGAGAAACUACAAAAGAAACACGAGCAACAACUGUUUAGUUACCUUUCCAGGGGUCCUGCCUGCAAUUAGCUCACCCAAAUGCUGACCUAUAAAUAACUGCCAGAAGGAUCUUUCUGACAAAGGAUCUCAAAGCACUGGCCAGCAGAGAGGAAAAGAAGCCAGAUGAUCCAGCAGAGCAGUGCAGUCAUGUCCCCAGCAAGCACCACUGCCUGAAGAUCGUCUGCCUUGGUGGAGUGUAAGGGACCAUCAUUCAGGAGUGAGACAGUGGCUAAGCAAAACCUUUUAAUCUUGUAAGAGCAAAGACUUUUCAAGCUAAUAUUUGAAAUUACUUUACAGAUAAGGAAGAAGAGGCAACAAGAACAUACUAGCAUUUAUUUGAUAUAUAUUUGCCAAAUGAAUGAUUUAUCUUCAUGCUUUUUUUAAAAGGACAGUGAUUACCAUAUCCCAUUUUCACAUUCGAAAAAAGUGAAGCAUAGAAACUUCCUUUUGGAGCACUGAAAUGAUCUAUUAAUACUUACAAGACUGUUUUCCUCAUUUUCUGGAAAAUUAUUUAUAAUACUUAGCAGUUUUUCCAAAAGAAAAUAAGUUCCUUAGCCACUCACUGAGAAAUUAUCACACCAAGGAGAGUCUUUUUGCAAGCAAACCUCCCCCCCCAGCCACUGAAGCAGCUAAAACCUGCACUCCUUUUCAGCAGCCCAGCUCACUCGUUCCUCCCAGCUGAGGAAAGCUGUGUGCACUGGACUAAGGAGUUCCAUGUAUUUUUCAGUAUGAGCAUUUAUUUUCUUGUCUGUGCAGUCCUAACCUGUCUGCUCUCACGAACAUUAUGGGACUCUGACAAUUUCUAAUGAUGACAAAGUAAUUCAGCACUGUCUGUGUUUAUUCCUCCAGGAAUACACUGCUUUAGCUGAAGCACAUUUGCAAUGUGCAUGACCCCUGCUCUCCUUCAUAAAUCUUUCUGACAAAACAAAGAGAUGGGGUAGCAUUUGGAACAGGAGCUGUAUUAACUGCUGCAUCUUCCUGAUUUAGGAUCUGGUAAACAUAUUCUCAGAUUUAAUCCAGUAUAGAAGACAUUACUUCUAUCUUUAAAAAAUAGAAGUAUUAUUUAAUACAGUCUAAAAUGCAUUAUUUCAUAAAGCUACCAAGCAAAUCAGAAAAGCUCAAGAGAGCCAGUUCAUUCAAGAGGAAAAAGCUAAAGGCAGAUCUGAUUUCAGAUGGAAUUGUGGGUCUGAGGAGGUCUCAGAAGGAAUACAAUCACUGGUACAAAACUGAUACUUCCAGAAACAUUGACUCAGGUCCAUGGGGCCGCUGUGUCUGCAGCAGGAGGGGAAGUUUCCUUACCAUUAUAUGUCUGUCUUUCAGAACUUCUGGGGUGGGGCAUUUCCUUACUGAAUAAAAUGAAAUGUACAACAGCCCCAGGACAGUUCUGUCUCUCCAUGGACCUUUUGGACUUUAUGAGCAGCCAAGAACAACUGAGGGACUGAAUAACAACCAGUACUAGCAGCAAAAUAGAGUUGGAUAGUGUAGGUAAAAUCCUUAUACUAGUGAGUAGUACAUUCUAGGAAAUAAUGAUUUUUAAUAAUGGCCACCUGCCAUGAAGAUCCAGUCAGGGUCAACUUUUACACACCCACCUCUGCCACAGUAGGACAGGGAUACAGCUGCUGCCAAGAAUGCUGAAGGCAGCUUCUCUGGUCUCCUGCAUAGAACUUCAGCACCAUUCCCUGAAGGUUUCUGACAUCAUUCCAAAAAUUUUCCUUAGUAUCUUCCUAUUGAAAAACUGAAAGGCUGAAAAGAAAAUGUAGGGGUUUUUUCAUAUUUCUACAUUCUGAAUUUUGUGAGCAUGUCUUUCCACUGUUCCUGAUGGAGCAUGGGCUGAAAGUCUUCUCAUCUGUUUAUUCAUCUGAGAAGAAGAAGCAGCAUUCAUUCUUGGAGCAUGAACCCAGCCUCAUGCACUAAAGCAAUAUUGCUUUUCACUGUAUCACAGAGAGAUUAAUAUUUAUUCAAAUUCAUACUUAUUUAUGUGGCUGGUAGAAUUAAACUGAGAUAAUAAAAUACAAAUACAAAUCUAGAGUCUGAAAAACACUUCUUAACUGAGGAGAGCUUCCAUUUGUAUUUACACAGAACUUUUUAAAUUAUUUGUUGUUGGUUUUAAAAAGUGCUAUUGAUAAAAAUUGCAAGCUAAAAAAAUAGAUCUGAGCAUGUGUCUGAUUUUAGGGGAGCCUUCACUGACAAUGCAAGAUGUUGUAGCCUGUUAGAGACCCUGUUUCCUUAAAGCAUUGUGAGAAGACUGAAGUAUAAAAGCACUAUCAAGUUUGGAGUCUUACGUGUUGAGUAGUAAUAGUCUUGUGUGGAUUUAUCACUAAUUACUAUCCUGGUGGGAGGUUUUGGGGAAAAUAGGGGGGAAAAUCUCCAUACAUAUUCUGAAAAACCAAAUGCUUUUGUGUAGACAAAGAGCUGCAGUUUUUUAGCCAUUCCUGCUCUUACAGAAGUAUGGGCUAAUAGUGGAAAUAAUGUCUACACUGUGGUUAGAAAACCAAGUAUUUUAAUUGUUGCUAUUGAGAGACAAGUAUCAGCAUACUACAUCUUAAAUCAUCUGGAAAAAUGUAUUCCUUGGCUAUUUUUCCAUCAAAUGAAAUAUUGUUUAAAACAGAGAAAACAGUUCUACUUCCUGAUAUGUUUUUAGCGUGGCUUCAGGGCAUUGCUAUUUAUUUUGCAAGGUCAGAGUAACUGAAUGCUAUUCAUUUCCAUGAAUUUUUGAAAUAAGGCCUAGCAUCUAUCAAUUAAAGUGACAGAUGGACUUUUGUCUAUUGUAAGCUUUAAUCACUGAUAUUUCAGAACUAUUUGCGUCUACAUCAGUUCUCUACUUGGCUAUUUUUCUUAAUUAUAGCUUUAGAGAUAGAAACUUGUUUAACAAAUUUUAAAAUUCAAAAAACAAAAAAAGGUCCAGAUUAAAAAGUAACAGUUGAGUAAGAAUAAUUACAAAAAAUAAAUAAUGAAAACAACUAAAAGCUAAAAAGCAACAGUCUGGUUUGCUCUAACAGCCAAAUAGCACUAAAAAAAGUGGAUUUCUCAGUUAAAAUACCUUCAAGCUUUUGAUACCUGACCAAAGUCUUGAUGACUGCACAUUGAAAUAUGUAUUCAGUUUGGUUUUUGGCCAGGUUGUGUGUAUACUGGAGAAUUACUGCCCAAAUGUUUAAUGGACAAAGACGGGGAAGGUCAUGAAAUCUUCAUUGCAUAUUUGUUUAAACCUUUGCUCUUGCUAUGAUUGCCAUCACAGAUAUAUUCAAAUUGCCAUCCUGAUGGUUUUGUUCAUCCAAACCUGCAUCCCAGUUACUAUAUUCAGGUUCCCUAUCUCAGAGUUAUGACUAAGAGAGGACAAGGAGCCAGUGAGGCAAGAGGACAGUGACUUUCUGGGGUAUUUCUGGGAAUGCACUCUCAGCAGAAUUUUAUUGUGCACAUUUGGAGGAUGUGGUCACUGCCUACCCUGAGGCAAGUUCCCCUUUCACAUCCUCUGAUGUGGAUAGUUUGAACCAUUUUUUCAGACCUGUUUCAGUGUCUCUUCCCCAUCCCCAGUGCAAACAGCCUCCCCAGUUUUUAGUGUCUGACAAGUCCAUGCAGUUCUUGUCCUGUGUGUGUGUGUAAAUCUGCACAGGUGUGGGGGGAGUCUCAUGGUCAGCCCUGCUGUGCUGUGCCUCCUCUGGGUGACAGCAGGCACUCCUCUGCCCUAGAGCCAAGGGAUUGCAGUGGCCCUGGACUGCUCUAAUCACAGCCCAUAGCACCAGCUCAAGAGAGGUAGGGCUGCAGAUUGCUGGGCCUUAUGGGCCAUGUGUCCUACCCAUAAAGUUGGAUUAUGUGUGACACCCACACUGCUGCCUGAGUUAGCACCACCCUGAACAACAGAUGCAGCAGCCCAGUUCUGCAGUUCCAGCUCCUCCUCUGUACAGACACUGUAUUUUCAAGCUUAACUCCAGGAAAAGAUGGAACAUAGCACAUUUCAAAUAACAUUUCUAUCAUCAAAUGAGAUUUCUUUAUUAGCACAACAGACUCUAUCCAAUAUCUGGAAACUCCCUUUCCUCCAGUGUGGUGAAGGACAGCAGGGGAGUGUGAACUGGAUGAAAUGGGAGGCUAGGCUCAUGUAGAUCAAAAGGCUCUUGAAUCUUGAAGCCUUGCCCAAGUCCUGCCUUCUCCUGAGAAAUUCGGCCAGUUGGGAUGUUUGAAAGUUAUAUCUAGUGUAAAGAUAAUUUUAGACUGGUUUAACCACGUGUGGUUUAAGCUCUGUUAGCCAGUCUAAUAACUAAUAGUGCUAUCACUGAUGCUGAACAUUUAAUUAAGAGCAAUUUACAAUUACUUACUGCAGUAUUUGGGACCAUGAAGGAGAUUGUGCCUGCAUUCCAACAUGAUACUUUUGGCUGUUUGGAAGCUGUGGGACCCAUCCUCCAAUUACACAAAUCAGGCUGAGCAGCAGGGUGUGAGAGCAAAAUCCCCAAACUUGGCUUACAUAGGUAAUGGGGAAAAGAUUACAAAACAAUCAAAUAGAUAAAGAGACAGAAGAGAUGGCAGGAGAGCAGGAAACAUCCUGCCAGAUGCUGCAAAAUCCAUAUUUUAGCAUGAAUAAUAAAUAAAUAGAAAAAGAGGCAGACGGUUAGGAAUAGAGCAAUAUAAGGAAAAUGGUACAAAGUAAAUAAGGCAAUAAAAAUCCAUACCAAAAACCAAACUAAGUCCUUCUAAAAGAUGUUCUGUAUCUGACAGCUACUUAAAUGUCACAUUAUAUGGGAAGCAUCUAUGUGUAGCUGUUGGGAUUAAUCCCUGCACCUAAUGUCAAAAAAGAUUUUUUGAUUGUGCGUUGCUUUUGUACCAAGGCUGCCAGUGCAUGACUAAAUAAAUAUUCACAUGUUAUUUAAAAAUAA
This is a long non-coding RNA of Passer domesticus (house sparrow), 9156 nucleotides long. RefSeq lists it as uncharacterized. Lineage: Eukaryota; Metazoa; Chordata; Aves; Passeriformes; Passeridae. The record is from RefSeq and is a predicted model, not a curated record. The transcript is spliced from 21 exons.